RNAcentral lists this ribosomal RNA (527 nucleotides) under uncultured bacterium. Its description in RNAcentral is "bacterial SSU rRNA". It matches the Rfam family "Bacterial small subunit ribosomal RNA", at positions 355 to 895 of the family's 1533-position model. The record is from RNAcentral.
UGGGGAAUCUUGCACAAUGGGCGAAAGCCUGAUGCAGCAACGCCGCGUGCGGGAAGACAGCCCUAGGGUUGUAAACCGCUUUCAGCAGGGAAGAAACUGACGGUACCUGCAGAAGAAGAUGCGGCCAACUACGUGCCAGCAGCCGCGGUGACACGUAGGCAUCAAGCGUUAUCCGGAUUUAUUGGGCGUAAAGAGCUCGUAGGCGGUCCGUUGCGUCUGCCGUGAAAACCCGGAGCUCAACUCCGGGCCUGCGGUGGAUACGGGCGGACUAGAGUCCGGUAGGGGAGACUGGAAUUCCUGGUGUAGCGGUGGAAUGCGCAGAUAUCAGGAGGAACACCGGUGGCGAAGGCGGGUCUCUGGGCCGGAACUGACGCUGAGGAGCGAAAAGCGUGGGGAGCGAACAGGAUUAGAUACCCUGGUAGUCCACGCCGUAAACGGUGGGCGCUAGGUGUGGGGAUCGUUUCCACGAUCUCCGUGGCCGUAGCUAACGCAUUAAGCGCCCCGCCUGGGAGUACGGCCGCAAGGCU